RNAcentral lists this ribosomal RNA (292 nucleotides) under uncultured bacterium. RNAcentral's name for it is "partial 16S ribosomal RNA". It matches the Rfam family "Bacterial small subunit ribosomal RNA", at positions 505 to 796 of the family's 1533-position model. The record is from RNAcentral.
GUGUCAGCCGCCGCGGUAAGACGUAGGGCGCAAGCGUUGUCCGGAUUUAUUGGGCGUAAAGGGCUCGUAGGCGGCCUGUCGCGUCGAUCGUGAAAACUGGGGGCUUAACUUCCAGCUUGCGGUCGAUACGGGCAGGCUUGAGGUAGGUAGGGGAGAACGGAAUUCCACGUGUAGCGGUGAAAUGCGCAGAUAUGUGGAGGAACACCGGUGGCGAAGGCGGUUCUCUGGGCCUAUCCUGACGCUGAUGAGCGAAAGCGUGGGGAGCGAACAGGAUUAGAAACCCUCGUAGUCC